UACACCCUGCUGUGCACGUGAUGCCGGAAUGGGGUUUUGAGCCAACAUUUUGAUAAACGGGAUCCUAAGUCCAAUGGUAGCAAAGCGGUAGCCUACGGGCAAGGCUGAUCUAUCGGCUGGGUCCCACCUGCGACAGCAGGGUCAAAACCAUCGGCACACGACACAGUGGGGUUAUA
Molecule: non-coding RNA, 176 nt
Filed under: Chloroflexota bacterium
Lineage: Bacteria; Bacillati; Chloroflexota
Description: Chloroflexi bacterium 6S RNA
Rfam family: 6S / SsrS RNA
About the family: E. coli 6S RNA was the first non coding RNA to be sequenced, but its function was unknown until recently. It consists of 184 nucleotides that fold into an extended hairpin structure with a large single-stranded internal bulge.
Source: RNAcentral